GACGAACGCUGGCGGCGUGCCUAAUACAUGCAAGUAGAACGCUGAAGGAGGAGCUUGCUCUUCUGGAUGAGUUGCGAACGGGUGAGUAACGCGUAGGUAACCUGCCUGGUAGCGGGGGAUAACUAUUGGAAACGAUAGCUAAUACCGCAUAACAGUAGAUGUUGCAUGACAUUUACUUAAAAGGUGCAAUUGCAUCACUACCAGAUGGACCUGCGUUGUAUUAGCUAGUUGGUUGGGUAACUGCUCACCAAGGCGACGAUACAUAGCCGACCUGAGAGGGUGAUCGGCAACACUGAGACAGAGACACGGCCCAGACUACUACGAGAGACAGCAGUAGGGACUCUUCGGCAAUGGACGGAAGUCUGACCAAGCAACGCCGCGUGAGUGAAGAAGGUUUUCGGAUCGUAAAGCUCUGUUGUAAGAGAAGAACGAGUGUGAGAGUGGAAAGUUCAAACUGUGACGGUAUCUUACCAGAAAGGGACGGCUAACUACGUG
Molecule: ribosomal RNA, 495 nt
Filed under: uncultured bacterium
Lineage: Bacteria
Description: partial 16S ribosomal RNA
Rfam family: Bacterial small subunit ribosomal RNA
Source: RNAcentral